AUGGCUGUCGUCAGCUCGUGUCGUGAGAUGUUGGGUUAAGUCCCGCAACGAGCGCAACCCUUGUCAUUAGUUGCUACAUUUAAGUUGGGCACUCUAAUGAGACUGCCGGUGACAAACCGGAGGAAGGUGGGGAUGACGUCAAGUCCUCAUGGCCCUUAUGGGUAGGGCCUCACACGUCAUACAAUGGCGCAUACAGAGGGUUGCCAACCCGCGAGGGGGAGCCAAUCCCAGAAAGUGCGUCGUAGUCCGGAUUGGAGUCUGCAACUCGACUCCAUGAAGUCGGAAUCGCUAGUAAUCGCGGAUCAGCAUGUCGCGGUGAAUACGUUCCCGGGUCUUGUACACACCGCCCGUCACACCAUGGGAGCGGGUUUCACCAGAAGUAGCUAGCCUAACCUGCGAAGGGGGGCGGUUACCACGGUGAGAUUCGUGACUGGGGUGAAGUCGUAACAAGGUAGCCGUAUCGGAAGGUGCGGCUGGAUCACCUCCUUUCUAGAGAAGGCGUUCUCGAGAGCGCGCAAGCAUCCACACUCAUCGGUUGUUGUGAACAGCAGGGGCGAGGGGCGACACCCCAGGCGGGUGUAAAGGGACGAGCGAAACCCCCUAACCCCUAAGCCCUAAGGAAUUUGGGGUCUGUAGCUCAGUUGGUUAGAGCAUCGUCUUGAUAAGGCGGGGGUCGUUGGUUCAACUCCAACCAGACCCACCAGGAAAAGUUGGGGGUGUAGCUCAGCUGGGAGAGCACCUGCUUUGCAAGCAGGGGGUCAUCGGUUCGAUCCCGUUCACCUCCACCACUAUCGAGGUUGCUGAAAGGCUAGAACCAAGCGAAUGGGACGUUUGCUUGGUUCUGGUUUUUUAAAGCCAGAGGCUGUUCGUUCUUUAACAAUACGGCAAGAAGUACAACCACACUCAUUUGCAGUUUGAAUGGUGUGGCUGGGUUUAGAUUGUAUGUAUCGCCCGUUCCCAUGGAAGAGUUCGAUGGGGAGGGGAGCAACACAAGCGCUGAAGUGAGAGGCCUGUGGCAUUGGACUUCGGGGUUGUCGCCCCGAGGGCUCAAGGUUAUAGGAUCAAGUGAAUAAGUGCAUGUGGUGGAUGCCUUGGCGAUUACAGGCGAUGAAGGGCGUGGCAGCCUGCGUAAAGCUGCGGGGAGCUGGCAAACGAGCAUUGAUCCGCAGAUAUCCGAAUGGGGAAACCCGG
This 1191-nucleotide small RNA is filed under the name uncultured Nitrosomonadaceae bacterium. RNAcentral describes it as "bacterial SSU rRNA". The stretch from base 1 to 489 matches the Rfam family "Bacterial small subunit ribosomal RNA", at positions 1045 to 1533 of the family's 1533-position model. The record is from RNAcentral. Lineage: Bacteria; Pseudomonadati; Pseudomonadota; Betaproteobacteria; Nitrosomonadales; Nitrosomonadaceae.